RNAcentral lists this ribosomal RNA (427 nucleotides) under uncultured bacterium. RNAcentral describes it as "bacterial SSU rRNA". It matches the Rfam family "Bacterial small subunit ribosomal RNA", at positions 354 to 796 of the family's 1533-position model. The record is from RNAcentral.
AUUAGGAAUCUUGCGCAAUGGGGGCAACCCUGACGCAGCGACGCCGCGUGGAGGAUGAAGGCCUUCGGGUCGUAAACUUCUUUUAAGAGGGAAGAAUUUUGACGGUACCUCUUGAAUAAGCCCCGGCUAACUACGUGCCAGCAGCCGCGGUAAUACGUAGGGGGCGAGCGUUGUCCGAAGUUACUGGGCGUAAAGCGCGCGUAGGCGGUCUCUUAAGUCUGGGGUGAAAGGUUCAGCGCUCAACGUGAACAGUGCCUUGGAUACUGGGGGACUUGAGUUAGGGAGAGGGAAGUGGAAUUCCUGGUGUAGCGGUGAAAUGCGUAGAUAUCAGGAGGAACACCAGUGGCGAAGGCGGCUUCCUGGCCUAUAACUGACGCUGAGGUGCGAAAGCGUGGGGAGCGAACGGGAUUAGAAACCCUUGUAGUCC